This 29-nucleotide small RNA is filed under the name Bombyx mori (domestic silkworm). Its description in RNAcentral is "ovarian small RNA-1550". The record is from RNAcentral. Lineage: Eukaryota; Metazoa; Arthropoda; Insecta; Lepidoptera; Bombycidae.
UGCCAGAUAAGGGGAACUCGUAACCCCGU